This is an RNA transcript of Quercus robur (English oak), 4628 nucleotides long. RefSeq lists it as uncharacterized. The transcript has 9 exons. NCBI's taxonomy places the organism in Eukaryota, Viridiplantae, Streptophyta, Magnoliopsida, Fagales, Fagaceae. The record is from RefSeq and is a predicted model, not a curated record.
AAGACUUGCCUGCUGUGCGGAGAAAGAGAGAGAAGAAAGAGAUCAACAGAACUAAACAGAGACCAGCGAAAAGCAAUUUCCUUCACUCCAUGGUUUCAAUUUCAUCUUAGUUGCUGCACUAAUCGUUCUCAACCCCAUCCCUUCUCUACUCUAUUAGUUGUCUGCCCCCAUCCCUUCUCUUCAAUGGUGUAUUCCGAAGGAAUUUUGACUCAUAACCCUUUUCAUCCCUAUCUGUUGAAAUCAGUGGAAACACCCACCAAAUGAAAUCCUACAUGAGUUUUAAUGAUACCAAAGAGUAGAUGAGGGAAUCAAAACAUGUCCAACAAAGGUUACUAGAAGAUCUAGGAAGCAAAAAACUAAUUCCAAGUUCGCUGUAUUGGACAAGGGAACUAAAAUCUGUUCUAAUUUGAAAGAGAUUAGUGACUCAAAUAUGUUGAUGCCACACUAGAUCCAAGAUAAGGUUCUAAAGGAUGGCUAGAAGAAGAACGAGAAGACUAUACCUAGAUUUGCAUGCCAAUAUUGCCUAUCAUGGACCAAGAACCCACAGUAUACACUGUGGAUUAGAAAGUAUAGUUUUACCCGACAAAGCCAACAGUGCAGGUACUAAGGAACAACCGAACAAGCAAGUGAUGAGCAGCUUGGGGGAGGUUUGAUAUUGUGGGUCUUCUAAGAUAGAAGUUCAAUAGCAGUUUUGGGUAUAUGGGGACAACCAAAGAUGCAAUGGACAUAGAUUAUGAAUCAAUCUUUUGCUGUGUUGUUAACAACUACACCAUUGUUCAAAUGAACUCACAAAACACCGGUGCCACGAGUACACAAUUGAAGAGCUCAUCACAAAGAGCUUCAACAACGUCGACAUUGUCCUCUUUAGCAAUCAGAUUGGCCAGAUGAAUAUGGAGAAAGGUACAUCAUGGACAACAGUACCUAAUCUUUCUCCCUCUCUCUUUGGUAUUGGAACACCAAUGUUUCAUUUUCUUAAAAUUUUUUUUUCCUUUUGGGUUUUCAAGUCUGGCAGAUUAUUAUUGGAACACCAAUGUUUGAAGAAAUGCUUAAACUGAACUUUGGAUUGGAUGUGUGGCACCCAAUUGUUAAUGCACGUACUAUGCUAUUUACAGAUUUCUUUUAAAUUUUGUUGUGAAUUGUGAUAUCAAUAUUUGGUUAAGAUUAAUACUUUGAGCUAGAUUCUCAUGUUGUUGUUGCUUUAUGGUUAGAUACAUAAUUUGGAUCUAUGUAACUUUCUUCCUACCAGAUAAAUAGAUACUCUUUUUUUUUUUUUUUUGGUAAAAAUUUCCACACCCUGCUGUUGUUGAUUAGUCAUAAAGUUAAUUAAGCUAUUUGUGUCUUAGUGAGAAGAACAUGUAUUUUCAUGUUCUAUGGUUCUAUCUACCAAAUUACUCUCAGUUCUUGGUUUGCAAAAGUCUGAUUGCAAAAUUGAUUAGAGCUCUUAUGGAGAAGACAGUGACAAUGUGCCAUUUUUUCCAGGGCUUUCUGCCAUGGAAGCUUAUGCUGCUAUGCAAAGGGUUCACCCAAUGAAAUUUGGAUUUCAUUAGCAUAUCAAAUUUCAGUUUGAGUCCGACAAAAUCUUUAUUCAAAAUUUCCACAUUUUCCCUCCUUUCAAUGAGUUCAUCCUUCAAUUGAUUGAUCUCACUUUGCAAAGCCAUCUCAUGGGCAACAUGCAAACCUUUCAGUUCUACUUUCUCAGCCUUAGAUUGCCUUAUUUCUUUUUCUAAUGAUCCACUUCUCAAUUCCCAUUCUUUGAGCUUAGCAUCAAACAAGGUCUGCUUUUCUGACAAACUUGAAAUAUCAGAUUGCAAUUGUGCCUUCUCCCUAGAGAAUUGUUCUUGGGCAUCACGCAAUGAGGUGGUCAGAGUAACCUAAGAGUUUCGACAAAAAUCUCUUCUUUCUAAUCAUUUUAGUGUCUAAAGAGAAGUUAUAUUUAGGAUUUUGUAGAAUUUUAUUGUUAUUUCUAUAAUCCUAUUUGAUAACAAGCCAGUGAUGAAUUUGGGAUCUAGAGUAACCUAAGAGUUUCAACUAAGGGCUAAAACUUAUUGACUAUUGGUCCAUUAAAAAAUAUAAUGGAGUGUUUCUUUUAUUUGGUUUUAGGAUUAUUUGGUUUACUUUUUAAUAUAAUUGAGAUUUCGACCAAAGAUUCCUAGGUUGGAGUUAUCAUUUUUUAUACAAUAUGGAAAAUCACUUGAUGAUGACCUUUUUAAGCUGGUAACAACAUAGUACAAUGUUGUUUUCUUCUACUUCUAACGGAGAGUAACUAGCUUAAAAAUUAUUAUUAGUCAUUGUAGAAAGGGAGUUAUUAAGACCUGAAAUUUCAAGGACGAAACUGAAAAACACAAGGAACUAAUUUUCUAUAAAAUUUGGGGGAAAUUACACUUUACCACCCUAAACUAUGCACUAGAUUACACUUUGUACCCUAAACUAUCCAACUGCACACUUUGCACCCUAAACUAUCACACUUAUCACACUUUGCACCCCAGUGUUAUUUUUGCUGUUAUAUUUAACAAAAUCUUGUUGGAUGUGACAAACAUAUGCUUCUUGCUUAGGUGGAACAAAGUUAAAAGACUAAAAACACCCUUCUUCAAAAUCAAUUAAACAAAACCCAUCCUCUUCCCCAAAUUCAGUUUCAAAAUGUUUAAAAUCAAUCUUGUUGCUUGCGUUUGAAAAGGACCUUGGCGCAAAGGAAUCCUUAAUAUUUCUUAUUUUUGAAGGCUCAUAUCAGUGAAAAGGCUCUUUUCUUAUUUUUGAAGCCACACAGACCAUAAUAUUUCUCUUUCUUUUUAUAUUAAUAUAGCUCAUUCUUCCAUUUGAGGUGGGUUAAGGUCAAUCUUUGAAGAUUUUUUCCGUAUAGUUUUUCAAUAUAUCAAUAAUACAUUCUGUGGCUCAGUUUUCCAAUUUGGGCUUAGUUUUGAGGGUCAAAAGGAAGCAUUUGUAAUGUCUGUCCAACGAUGAAAACAAAACAAACAAUGAUUCGGGGAAGGUGGAUGGGGUACUGUGAAUAAAUUCUGCCAUGGAAUCAGAGAGGUAACUUUAAAUAUUUUGAAACUGAAUCUGGGGAAGAGGAUGGGUUUUGUUUUAAUUGAUUUUGAAGAAGGGUGUUUUUAGUGUUUUAACUUUGUUCCACCUAAGCAAGAAGCAUGUGUUUAUCACAUGCAACAAGAUUUUGUUAAAUAUAAUAGAAAAAAUAACACCAGGAUGCAAAGUGUGAUAAGUGUGAUAGUUUAGGGUGCAAAGUGUGCAGUUGGAUAAUUUAGGAUGCAAAGUGUAAUCUAGUGCGUAGUUUAGGGUGGUAAAGUGUAAUUUUCCCUAAAAUUUGAUGUGAUUCAAAGAUUGUUUGUUUGGUUAAAGAAUUGAAGUUUAGCACUGAACUUUGAGUGAGUUGAAAUAUGAUGCAAGAAUGAGCUUUUGGUGUGACAACAUCUCUCAUACUGAAUCUAAACAUGUAAAAAGGGUUUAAGUAUUUUGUAUUGUAACAUAAUCUAUUUAUGCUUUUCAAUUCAUGUUUACUAUUUGAAGUCAUGAUAUUCAGUCACCUGGCAUAAAGGGAAAAAAAAAUCAGAGGUUGAAAUCCAUUUUUCAUUCCCUGUAUUUGAAGUGUUUAUGAUAAUAAGUAAGAUAUAUAAUUUGUUGCGGUGGGUAUUUUGGCUUUGGAAAUUUUUUUUCCAUAUUAAUAAAGCAUCGUCACACUCAUUAUGGCUUUGGGAAGCUGUAAGUGAGGGGUACCCGUACCAAUGCUGAGUAGCUCCUGUUCCUGUUGCGGUUAGAAUUAUAUUGUGCCAUUGUGUGUGUGGUGCAUUUGCUUUAUGGGUUGUAAAUUUUUUUUGUUGUUUUGGCUACUUUUGUUUCAGGUGAAUUUCAUGUAAGAUGUGGUUGAGAUUUAUAAUAGAAAUGGUAUGUUUAGCUAAUUUCGGGCAAACCUUGCACAUCUUUCUCCUCCGCAAUUGUGUUGUUUCAGAUCAUCACUUUCAUGAUCCUUUCUAUUUGAGAUAUUUACAUGAUAAAUAGUCUUCAAGUAUGUUCUUUUAGGUUAACACUAUAAUAAUUGAAAGCAAGAAACUCCUAAUCUGUAGCAUCUCCCUUCUUUGAUUACAAGGACUGCACUGCUCAUAUUGUCAUUUUCCUGUGGUGCUAAUGACUAACAUGAAUACAUUCUUUUCUUAAGUUAUCAAUUUGUACUUUACCAUAUAAUUAAAUGUUAUCAGUGUAGUUUCUUCAUUUAUAUGGUUGGGAAAAUUACAAAGAGGUAAACUGUGGUUAGAAGUGAUUGGAUUCAUAUGAGCAUAAAAUGUUUGGGUUGGAAGAUCAAAUCAAAACAUUGAGAAAACAAAUCAAGGAGUUGAAGAAGAGGCUGUUCGAAUCAAAAUAGAACUUUAUCCAAUGGCUGUUGUAAUAAGCUUUUUUUUUUGCGAUUUCAUUCCAUACCGUGUAUUUCUUUGUUGUAGAAUGCUUAUUAUUUUUUUUUUAUGCUAAGCACCUCAUGGUAAGCAAAAUUGAAGAAAAUUUUGCAUUAAAAAUGUCUAGACAUGGAUUCGUACGUGCUAUGGAGACAUGGAGUGUUUAACAGCAAAAUUAGUUAGAGAACUUUAUCUUAUGUCUUUUAUAAUAAACUGCUUUUUCCUUCA